ACCUGCGGAGGAUCAUUAUGAAUUAAUAGGAGGUAGUUGUUGCUGGCCUUCUUAAUGAGGGGGCAUGUGCACACUAUGUCUUUCAUUACCUUUCUCACCUGUGCACUAACUGUAGGUUCAGCCGGCUAGUUUUGGCUCGCAUGAACCUAUGUCUUCAUAUACAUCUUUGUGUAGAAAGUCUUUGAAUGUUUAUUAUCAGAGAGUUGCGACUUCUAGGAGUUGUGAAUCUUUGAGACAAAAGUUAUUACAACUUUCAGCAAUGGAUCUCUUGGCUCUCGCAUCGAUGAAGAACGCAGCGAAAAGCGAUAUGUAAUGUGAAUUGCAGAUCUACAGUGAAUCAUCGAAUCUUUGAACGCACCUUGCGCUCCUUGGUAUUCCGAGGAGCAUGCCUGUUUGAGUGUCAGUAAUUUCUCAACCCCUCUCAAUUAGCUUUGAGGGGGAGCUUGGAUAGUGGGUGUUGCCAGAGACUCUUACUUGUGUAAGACUUGGGCUCACCUGAAAUGCAUUGGCUUGCAGUCAACCUUUUGACUUUGCAUGAUAAGGCUUUCGGUGUGAUAAUGAUCACCGUGUGCUGAAGUGCAUGAAUAAAGGUUCUGUGCCUCUAAUAUAUGGGUUGACUUUUACUAUAUAGUAAAGUCUUUUCCCCCCCUUUUGACUUUUUGACCUCAAAUCAGGCAGGACUACCCGCUGAACUUAA
This 697-nucleotide ribosomal RNA is filed under the name uncultured Rhizopogon. Its description in RNAcentral is "eukaryotic LSU rRNA". The stretch from base 249 to 403 matches the Rfam family "5.8S ribosomal RNA". The record is from RNAcentral. Lineage: Eukaryota; Fungi; Basidiomycota; Agaricomycetes; Boletales; Rhizopogonaceae.